GACGAACGCUGGCGGCGUGCCUAAUACAUGCAAGUAGAACGCAGUUGCGAACGGGUGAGUAACGCGUAGGUAACUGACUGGUAGCGGGGGAUAACUAUUGGAAACGAUAGCUAAUACAGCAUACUACCAGAUGGACCUGCGUUGUAUUAGCUAGUUGGGUGGGUAACGGCCCACCAAGGCAACGAUACCUAGCCGACCUGAGAGGGUGAUCGGCCACACUGGGACUUGGACACGGCCCAGACUCCUACGGGAGGCAGCAGUAGGGAAUCUUCGGCAAUGGACGGAAGUCUUACCGAGCAACGCCGCGUGAGUUAAGAAGGUUUUCGGAUCGUAAAGCUCUGUUGUAAGAGAAGCGGUAUCUUACCAGAAAGGGACGGCUAACUACGUGCCAGCAGCCGCGGUAAUUC
Molecule: ribosomal RNA, 407 nt
Filed under: uncultured bacterium
Lineage: Bacteria
Description: partial 16S ribosomal RNA
Rfam family: Bacterial small subunit ribosomal RNA
Source: RNAcentral